This 262-nucleotide ribosomal RNA is filed under the name uncultured bacterium. RNAcentral describes it as "partial 16S ribosomal RNA". It matches the Rfam family "Bacterial small subunit ribosomal RNA", at positions 515 to 776 of the family's 1533-position model. The record is from RNAcentral.
CCGCGGUAAUACAGAGGUCCCGAGCGUUGUUCGGAUUCACUGGGCGUAAAGGGUGCGUAGGUGGUCGGGUAAGUCUGGUGUGAAAUCUCCGAGCUCAACUCGGAAAUGGCAUUGGAUACUAUUCGGCUAGAGGAUUGGAGGGGGGACUGGAAUACUUGGUGUAGCAGUGAAAUGCGUAGAUAUCAAGUGGAACACCAGUGGCGAAGGCGAGUCCCUGGACAAUUCCUGACACUGAGGCACGAAAGCUAGGGGAGCAAACAGG